This 160-nucleotide ribosomal RNA is filed under the name uncultured Alcaligenes sp. RNAcentral's name for it is "partial 16S ribosomal RNA". The record is from RNAcentral. Lineage: Bacteria; Pseudomonadati; Pseudomonadota; Betaproteobacteria; Burkholderiales; Alcaligenaceae.
AUGCCCGCGUUGUAUGAAAGAAGGCCUUUCGGGUUUGUAAAGUACUUUCAGGCGGGGAGUUGAAAGGUUGUUGUGGUUAUUAUAACCACAGCAAUUGAGGCGUUUAACCCCGCAGAAAGAAGCACCCGGCGCUAAACUCCGUGCCCAGCAGCCGCGGUAA